UACGUAGGGACCAAGCGUUGUUCGGAUUUACUGGGCGUAAAGGGCGCGUAGGCGGCAAUUCAAGUCAUCUGUGAAAUCUCCGGGCUUAACCCGGAACGGUCAGAUGAUACUGCUUUGCUAGAGUGCGGAAGGGGCAAUCGGAAUUCUCGGUGUAGCGGUGAAAUGCGUAGAUAUCGAGAGGAACACCUGAGGUGAAGACGGGUUGCUGGGCCGACACUGACGCUGAGGAGCGAAAGCGUGGGGAGCGAACAGG
This 253-nucleotide ribosomal RNA is filed under the name uncultured bacterium. Its description in RNAcentral is "partial 16S ribosomal RNA". It matches the Rfam family "Bacterial small subunit ribosomal RNA", at positions 524 to 776 of the family's 1533-position model. The record is from RNAcentral.